UGGGGAAUAUUGGGGCAAUGGGGGGAAACCCUGAUGCAGCGACGCCGCGUGAGGGAAGACGGUCCUCUGGAUUGUAAACCUCCGUCUUCGGGGACGAAACGAGACGGUACCCGAGGAGGAAGCCACGGCUAACUACGUGCCAGCAGCCGCGGUAAUACGUAGGUGGCAAGCGUUGUCCGGAAUUACUGGGUGUAAAGGGAGCGUAGGCGGGCAGGCAAGUCAGGCGUGAAAGAUAUCGGCUCAACCGGUAGCUGCGCUUGAAACUGCAGGUCUUGAGUGAAGUAGAGGUUGGCGGAAUUCCUAGUGUAGCGGUGAAAUGCGUAGAUAUUAGGAGGAACACCAGUGGCGAAGGCGGCCAACUGGGCUUUUACUGACGCUGAGGCUCGAAAGUGUGGGGAGCAAACAGGAUUAGAUACCCUGGUAGU
This 425-nucleotide ribosomal RNA is filed under the name uncultured Oscillospiraceae bacterium. RNAcentral's name for it is "bacterial SSU rRNA". It matches the Rfam family "Bacterial small subunit ribosomal RNA", at positions 355 to 794 of the family's 1533-position model. Lineage: Bacteria; Bacillati; Bacillota; Clostridia; Eubacteriales; Oscillospiraceae. The record is from RNAcentral.